UACGGAGGGUGCAAGCGUUAUCCGGAUUCACUGGGUUUAAAGGGUGCGUAGGAGGGCAGGUAAGUCAGUGGUGAAAUCUCCAAGCUUAACUUGGAACUGCCGUUGAUACUAUCUGUCUUGAAUACCGUGGAGGUGAGCGGAAUAUGUCAUGUAGCGGUGAAAUGCUUAGAUAUGACAUAGAACACCAAUUGCGAAGGCAGCUCGCUACACGAAUAUUGACUCUGAGGCACGAAAGCGUGGGGAUCAAACAGG
RNAcentral lists this ribosomal RNA (252 nucleotides) under uncultured bacterium. Its description in RNAcentral is "partial 16S ribosomal RNA". It matches the Rfam family "Bacterial small subunit ribosomal RNA", at positions 524 to 776 of the family's 1533-position model. The record is from RNAcentral.